UGCUUCGGAAUCUGCCCUUCAGUGGGGAAUAACCAGUCGAAAGAUUGGCUAAUACCGCAUACGAACUACGGUUGAAAGCAGGGGAUCGCAAGACCUUGCGCUGAUGGAUGAGCCGAAGUCGGAUUAGCUUGUUGGUGGGUAACGGCCUACCAAGGCGACGAUCCGUAGCUGGUCUGAGAGGACGACCAGCCACACUGGGACUGAGACACGGCCCAG
This 216-nucleotide ribosomal RNA is filed under the name uncultured bacterium. Its description in RNAcentral is "partial 16S ribosomal RNA". It matches the Rfam family "Bacterial small subunit ribosomal RNA", at positions 114 to 334 of the family's 1533-position model. The record is from RNAcentral.